This 553-nucleotide ribosomal RNA is filed under the name uncultured Gammaproteobacteria bacterium. RNAcentral's name for it is "bacterial SSU rRNA". It matches the Rfam family "Bacterial small subunit ribosomal RNA", at positions 50 to 594 of the family's 1533-position model. The record is from RNAcentral. Lineage: Bacteria; Pseudomonadati; Pseudomonadota; Gammaproteobacteria.
UACACAUGCAAGUCCAGCGGUAACAGGGGGUGCUUGCACCCCGCUGACGAGCGGCGGACGGGUGAGUAAUGCAUAGGAAACUGCCCAGUAGUGGGGGAUAGCCCGGGGAAACCCGGAUUAAUACCGCGUACGCCCUUCGGGGGAAAGCAGGGGAUCUUCGGACCUUGCGCUAUUGGAUGUGCCUAUGUCGGAUUAGCUAGUUGGUGGGGUAAAGGCCUACCAAGGCGACGAUCCGUAGCUGGUCUGAGAGGAUGAUCAGCCACAUCGGGACUGAGACACGGCCCGAACUCCUACGGGAGGCAGCAGUGGGGAAUAUUGGACAAUGGGGGCAACCCUGAUCCAGCCAUGCCGCGUGUGUGAAGAAGGCUUUCGGGUUGUAAAGCACUUUCAGUGAGGAGGAAAACUCUGCGACUAAUACUCGUAGGGCUUGACGUUACUCACAGAAGAAGCACCGGCUAACUCCGUGCCAGCAGCCGCGGUAAUACGGAGGGUGCAAGCGUUAAUCGGAAUUACUGGGCGUAAAGCGCGCGUAGGUGGUUUGAUAAGCGAGAUG